CCCUCAGGAUAGCUGGAGCUC
RNAcentral lists this small nuclear RNA (21 nucleotides) under Arabidopsis thaliana (thale cress). Its description in RNAcentral is "snRNA_08508". The record is from RNAcentral. Lineage: Eukaryota; Viridiplantae; Streptophyta; Magnoliopsida; Brassicales; Brassicaceae.